Molecule: ribosomal RNA, 434 nt
Filed under: uncultured bacterium
Lineage: Bacteria
Description: partial 16S ribosomal RNA
Rfam family: Bacterial small subunit ribosomal RNA
Source: RNAcentral
AGCGAACGCUGGCGGCAGGCCUAACACAUGCAAGUCGAACGAACCUUUCGGGGUUAUUGGCGUUCGGGUGAGUAACACGUGGGAACGUGCCUUUAUGUUGGGAAUAACUCAGUGAAAGUUGUUCUCUUACCGAAUGUGUCCUUCAUGGGGCAUAUCUUUAGCAUUUAGAGCGGCCGGCCUUUGAUUCGCUAGUUGGUUGAGUUAAUGGCUCACCAAGGCGACGAUCAGUAGCUUGUCUGAGAGGAUGAGCAGCAACAGUGGGACGGAGACACGGCCCAAAAUCAUACGGGAGGCAGCAGUGGGGAAUCGUGCGCAAUGGGCGAAAGACUGACGGAGCCAUGGCGUGUGAAUGAUGAAGGUCUGAGGAUAGGAAAAUUCUUUCAACGGGGACGAUAAUGACGGUACCCGGAGAAGAAGCCCCGGCUAACUUCGUG